GACGAACGCUGGCGGCGUGCUUAACACAUGCAAGUCGAACGGAAAGGCCCUUCGGGGUACUCGAGUGGCGAACGGGUGAGUAACACGUGGGUGAUCUGCCCUGCACUUUGGGAUAAGCCUGGGAAACUGGGACUAAUACCGAAUAGGACCACGCGCUUCAUGGUGUGUGGUGGAAAGCUUUUGCGGUGUGGGAUGGGCCCGCGGCCUAUCAGCUUGUUGGUGGGGUAAUGGCAUACCAAGGCGACGACGGGUAGCCGGCCUGAGAGGGUGACCGGCCACACUGGGACUGAGAUACGGCCCAGACUCCUACGGGAGGCAGCAGUGGGGAAUAUUGCACAAUGGGCGCAAGCCUGAUGCAGCGACGCCGCGUGUGGGAUGACGGCCUUCGGGUUGUAAACCUCUUUCAAUAGGGACGAAGCGCAAGUGACGGUACCUAUAGAAGAAGCACGGGCUAACUACGUG
This 462-nucleotide ribosomal RNA is filed under the name uncultured bacterium. Its description in RNAcentral is "partial 16S ribosomal RNA". It matches the Rfam family "Bacterial small subunit ribosomal RNA", at positions 28 to 507 of the family's 1533-position model. The record is from RNAcentral.